This is a long non-coding RNA of Syngnathus acus (greater pipefish), 99 nucleotides long. RefSeq lists it as uncharacterized. NCBI's taxonomy places the organism in Eukaryota, Metazoa, Chordata, Actinopteri, Syngnathiformes, Syngnathidae. The transcript is spliced from 3 exons. The record is from RefSeq and is a predicted model, not a curated record.
CUUUCAGUCUAAAUUCAUCCCUCCAAAUAACUACCUCUGGCAAAGAAACAAAAAUUUAUAAAGCACUCCCUUUUACUGUUACCUUCCAUCCAUUUUCUU